This 271-nucleotide unclassified non-coding RNA is filed under the name Hevea brasiliensis (rubber tree). The record is from RNAcentral. Lineage: Eukaryota; Viridiplantae; Streptophyta; Magnoliopsida; Malpighiales; Euphorbiaceae.
GAAAAGGGUAUGAUGAUUCUUGAAAAUCAGGACAUGGAAAAUAAUUGGAUUGUGAAGGAGACAUUAUGAGGUCUAAAAGGGAAGAAUUUGAAGGUAUAAAUUCAGGAUUUUGUUGAUAAAAAGUUGGUGAUUCAAUGUUCCAUGCAUUUGCAAAAGUGUUGUUCCAAUUUUCUAUCCUUGGAGAAACUAUUUCUUCUAAAAAAUCUUCUUGAGUGAGCUCCAUUUCUUUCUCUCCCUCUCUCUCUAUUAUUACAACAAAAAUGUUGAUAAG